UCCUGGGUGGCCUAGCAGUUAAAAACUCAGCAUUGUUAUUGCUGUGACUCGGGUUUGAUCCCUGGCCUGGGAA
This 73-nucleotide transfer RNA is filed under the name Sus scrofa (pig). It matches the Rfam family "tRNA". From Rfam's summary of the family: Transfer RNA (tRNA) molecules are approximately 80 nucleotides in length. Their secondary structure includes four short double-helical elements and three loops (D, anti-codon, and T loops). Lineage: Eukaryota; Metazoa; Chordata; Mammalia; Artiodactyla; Suidae. The record is from Rfam by way of RNAcentral.